This 963-nucleotide ribosomal RNA is filed under the name uncultured Cytophagales bacterium. Its description in RNAcentral is "bacterial SSU rRNA". It matches the Rfam family "Bacterial small subunit ribosomal RNA", at positions 488 to 1461 of the family's 1533-position model. Lineage: Bacteria; Pseudomonadati; Bacteroidota; Sphingobacteriia; Sphingobacteriales. The record is from RNAcentral.
AGCAUCGGCUAACUCCGUGCCAGCAGCCGCGGUAAUACGGAGGAUGCGAGCGUUAUCCGGAUUUAUUAGGUUUAAAGGGUGUGUAGGCGGAAACUUAAGUCAGUGGUGAAAUCCCCCGGCUCAACCGGGGAACUGCCAUAGAUACUGGGUUUCUUGAGUACAGUUGAAGUAGGCGGAAUGUGUAAUGUAGCGGGUGAAAUGCAUAGAUAUUACACAGAACACCGAUUGCGAAGGCAGCUUGCUAAGCUGUUACUGACGCUGAUGCACGAAAGCGUGGGUAGCGAACAGGAUUAGAUACCCUGGUAGUCCACGCCGUAAACGAUGAUUACUCGUUGUUGGCGAUAUAAAGUCAGCGACUGAGCGAAAGCAUUAAGUAAUCCACCUGGGGAGUACGGCGGCAACGCUGAAACUCAGAGGAAUUGACGGGGGCCCGCACAAGCGGAGGAACAUGUGGUUUAAUUCGAUGAUACGCGAGGAACCUUACCUGGGCUUAAAUGUAGCGUGACCGUGGCCGAAAGGUCACUUCCCAGCAAUGGGCAGGUUACAAGGUGCUGCAUGGCUGUCGUCAGCUCGUGCCGUGAGGUGUCGGGUUAAGUCCCAUAACGAGCGCAACCCCUAUUGUUAGUUGCCAGCGGGUAAAGCCGGGAACUCUAACGAGACUGCCACCGUAAGGUGAGAGGAAGGUGGGGAUGACGUCAAGUCAGCACGGCCCUUAUGUCCAGGGCUACACACGUGUUACAAUGGUCGGUACAAAGGGCAGCUACCUGGUGACAGGAUGCUAAUCUCAAAAACCGAUCCCAGUUCGGAUCGAAGUCUGCAACUCGACUUCGUGAAGUUGGAUUCGCUAGUAAUCGUAUAUCAGCAAUGAUACGGUGAAUACGUUCCCGGGCCUUGUACACACCGCCCGUCAAGCCAUGGAAGCCGGGGGUACCUGAAGUCCGUAACCGUAAGGAGCGGCCUAGG